This 429-nucleotide ribosomal RNA is filed under the name uncultured bacterium. RNAcentral's name for it is "bacterial SSU rRNA". It matches the Rfam family "Bacterial small subunit ribosomal RNA", at positions 355 to 776 of the family's 1533-position model. The record is from RNAcentral.
UGGGGAAUAUUGGACAAUGGGGGCAACCCUGAUCCAGCGAUGCCGCGUGUGUGAAGAAGGCCUAAGGGUUGUAAAGCACUUUCGGUGGGGAGGAGGACAUUGAGGUUAAGAGCUACGAUGUUGGACGUUACCCACAAAAGAAGCACCGGCUAACUCCGUGCCAGCAGCCGCGGUAAUACGGAGGGUGCGAGCGUUAAUCGGAUUUACUGGGCGUAAAGGGUGCGUAGGCGGUGAUAUAAGUUAAGUGUGAAAGUCCUGGGCUUAACCUGGGGAAGUCACUUAAGACUGUAUAACUAGAGUAUGGGAGAGGGUAGUGGAAUUUCCGGUGUAGCGGUGAAAUGCGUAGAGAUCGGAAGGAACACCAGUGGCGAAGGCGGCUACCUGGCCCAAUACUGACGCUGAGGCACGAAAGCGUGGGGAGCAAACAGG